Molecule: long non-coding RNA, 2000 nt
Organism: Lagopus muta (rock ptarmigan)
Lineage: Eukaryota; Metazoa; Chordata; Aves; Galliformes; Phasianidae
Exons: 7
Source: RefSeq, a predicted model, not a curated record
AGGAAGGCAUUUAACUGCCUUAAUCAUAUGGCCAUCCUUCUAUCUCCUGCAGUCCUGGGACUCGAUUGGAACUGAUCUUUCCUAUCUUGUGACAUUCCUAUAGAGGUGUUCCACGGACAGAGAACUGCUUCAGAGGUGAUUCCCAAGAGGAGUAUUUUCCUCUUUCGCACGGAAAAAAAUCAGGCUUUGUUUGGCCUGUGAAGGGAGUGCAGAAACAUUGAAUCCAACUACGUUAAAGCUGGGGAGAAGUAGAAGUUGCAAGAAGUUGGAGCAGAGAUGUAACAUGGAAAUAGCUUGAAGUAUGGCAGUAUUUUGUAUUCCCAAGAAAGGACCUGUUUCAGCUAUUGAAGUAUUAACUGUGUCAAUAAUGGGCCUUACUGGCUCUAAUUGGACUCAUCUAGCUUUUUAUCAGCAUUCUCUGCCCGUGAGCCCAGAAGCUGCACUUCAGCUUUUCUCAUAGUUCUGAAAGUCAUUUAUUGCUUCUGAUUCAGGACAUCGGCUGGUCACCAGCAGUGAUGAGGAAGGAACCAUCUGUAAGUACAUUAAAGUUCCAUUGCAAAUGGGAAACUGUGGAGUGGGACAGUGGAGAAUUGGUGGAGUCUGUGCCUUGUCCAUGCCAAACAUCGGAAUUGAGCUGGAGCAUGAGGGAUGAGGAAGAUAACUUAUUGCUCAGAUUUUACAUCCCAGUGAUUUGAGAAGUUGCAUUCAAAACAUGAGACUUAUGCUCCUCCUAGAACACAAUUUUUGUCAAUGUUGUUUCAAGAAAAAACGACCAGUUGCUCCAUCUGUCAGUAAGCCUCUUCCAAGGAGAAGGAAAUAUCAACACUCAACACAAAAUGAGAUUGCCCUUUGAAAGCAAAAAGACUUAGAGGCACAAAGCUCAUUAUGUGUAACAGACCACGUUGUCCAUCAUAACAAAGGACUAAAAAAGUGAAGACAAACCAGCACAUACAAGAAGAUCAUAGGACAAUGUCAGUUACAUAGGCUUGUCUCCUGCACACUAGGAGAUGAAUCAUCAUCAGUGGUUUUGGGGAAGAUAUUUAGACAUUAUAGCAAAGAGCCUGAACCUCUGAUUGAUCACCUGAGGCGAGCACUGAGUCAGCCAGAGGAGCACAGCUGAAGGCAAUUCCCCCGUGCUGCCGGAAGGGCUGGAGCCUGACUCCACCUCUCCUAGACCCAUUUAAGAGCUGGCUACCAGUGGGGAAGGAUCUCUUUUGGAGAUUGUCUCUACUGGUGUUUUGUGGGUGAGCCCAGGAUAAGGGUAAGCCUUCCAUUUGUUCUCCCUUCCAUUUGUCCUCUUUUGUUAUCAUGGUCUACUUCACCUAACUCUCUUGUUUAUUUUGUGAUUAUAGCAUCCUAAUAUUCUCUGAUUAUACACCUGCAUUCUCUUCUCAUUUUUACAAUUUAAGCUGUUACUGUUUUUGAUUGUAAAGGCUUCUUCGAUUUUUUCAGUGUAUUCAGAAUUCAAGAACACUUUUCACACGAAGAAUUUAACUAGGUUUCCCACAAACUAGUUAUUUUUUUUAUCCUCUUUUUUCUUCACUGUAACCCCUGUUGUUAGCUUUUCUCAAUCUAUCUGAGAUAUCAUUGAAGGUUUUUUGGAAAUGGAAUACUUAUAUAAAUGUAACAUUAUUUUCUUUGUUGAAAUGACAAAUAAAAAGAAUGGAAAAAUCUUGAUCAACCAUUACUUGGAAAAUCUGUGUCUGAACUUUGAAUCUUCUUAGUAUAUAUUGACCAAAAAAGCCUUAAAUCAUCUAUUCCUUCUGUGUUCUAGACUUGUGGCCAGUUAUCACUGUAACUGGAACCUGAAACAAGUUGCCUUGAUAGAAGUUGUGAACUAGUUUAGUGCUCUGCAUUUACAGUUGAUGGUUUUCAUAGGCACUUCAGUUCCUCAGGUUUAAAACACCUGAAUGCCAGUACUAAUUUUGUUUUUAUGGUGGUGAGAUUGAGAUUAAAAAAAAAAAAGUAUUCUCAGUAUUUAUUGAAUCUUAAAGGCUGCA